Long non-coding RNA from Herpailurus yagouaroundi (jaguarundi), 921 nucleotides. RefSeq lists it as uncharacterized. The record is from RefSeq and is a predicted model, not a curated record. The transcript has 8 exons. NCBI's taxonomy places the organism in Eukaryota, Metazoa, Chordata, Mammalia, Carnivora, Felidae.
CAAGGACGUUCGCUUGAGAGAGUGUGUUGCUGUUGAGGCUAUUUGGUCUGAAUACGUGACUAUAGCCAGUUAAGGCCUCUGUAUAAACUUAAGAUUCUGACAGCAGGUGCGGAGAUGUACGCGGCUUCUCUUGCAGUUGCUGAAGACAAGUCUUGUAAAAUCCUUCCUUUUCUGUUUCUUUGGCUUGGUUGUUGUCUUUUGGCUCGACACCCACCAAGAGGCGAACCCAGUUUCAGAUAACAGAGCUCUGCAUGUGACAUCUCCUAUCAUACAGGACUUUUGAUGCACAGGUUACAUUUCUGUGUAGUAAUAUCACCAGGCUUAUGCUGACCACAAAUGCUACUUUUCAAUAAGAAGCUUCUCCUGACUCCAAGCAAGGCCCCUAUCCCUUUCCUUGGAUCAUAUAAGGUUCAUGCUGCCUCACUUAAUUUCACGUCUGUGUGGAUUCCAGGCCAAAUUAGGAAUCUAAGUGCUCCUUCUUACCAUCUCCUCUAAGCCUUCUGAACUAGGUGUCAAGAUCAGAGAGAAUCUCAUAGGAUUCAUUCACUUCUUCGAAUGUGGUUUAAAGGACAAGUGAAUCCUGCAACAGCUGAUCUUUCAGGAAGACUUGUCUUUUUCAAAUGAAGAAAAGUCACAUAAGGACACAGGGAGAAGUCAGCUGUCUGCAAGCCAGGAAGAGCUUCACUAGACACUAACCCUGAUGGCACCUUGAUCUUGAACUUCCAGCCCCCAGAACUGUGAGAAAAUAGUUACCUGUUGUUUAAGCUACCUUAUCUGCAGUAUUUUGUUAUCGCUAAGUUAACUAAAACACCCCUUUGGGGGAACCUAGUGGCUCAAUCAGUUAAGUGUCCAACGCUUGGUUUCAGCUCAGGUCAUGAUCUCAGGAUUGUGAGAUUGAGCCCUGUGUCUGGCUCCAGCCUG